Molecule: ribosomal RNA, 465 nt
Filed under: uncultured bacterium
Lineage: Bacteria
Description: bacterial SSU rRNA
Rfam family: Bacterial small subunit ribosomal RNA
Source: RNAcentral
CCUACGGGCCGCACCAGUGGGGAAUAUUGCACAAUGGGCGCAAGCCUGAUGCAGCCAUGCCGCGUGUAUGAAGAAGGCCUUCGGGUUGUAAAGUACUUUCGGCGGGGAGGAAGGCGAUACGGUUAAUAACCUUGUCGAUUGACGUUACCCGCAGAAGAAGCACCGGCUAACUCCGUGCCAGCAGCCGCGGUAAUACGGAGGGUGCAAGCGUUAAUCGGAAUUACUGGGCGUAAAGCGCACGCAGGCGGUCUGUCAAGUCAGAUGUGAAAUCCCCGGGCUCAACCUGGGAACUGCAUUCGAAACUGGCAGGCUAGAGUCUUGUAGAGGGGGGUAGAAUUCCAGGUGUAGCGGUGAAAUGCGUAGAGAUCUGGAGGAAUACCGGUGGCGAAGGCGGCCCCCUGGACAAAGACUGACGCUCAGGUGCGAAAGCGUGGGGAGCAAACAGGAUUAGAUACCCCGGUAGUC